This 424-nucleotide ribosomal RNA is filed under the name uncultured prokaryote. RNAcentral describes it as "bacterial SSU rRNA". It matches the Rfam family "Bacterial small subunit ribosomal RNA", at positions 355 to 796 of the family's 1533-position model. The record is from RNAcentral.
UGGGGAAUCUUAGACAAUGGGCGAAAGCCUGAUCUAGCGAUGCCGCGUGAGUGAUGAAGGUCUUAGGAUCGUAAAGCUCUUUCGCCAGGGAUGAUAAUGACAGUACCUGGUAAAGAAACCCCGGCUAACUCCGUGCCAGCAGCCGCGGUAAUACGGAGGGGGUUAGCGUUGUUCGGAAUUACUGGGCGUAAAGCGCGCGUAGGCGGACUAUUAAGUCGGGGGUGAAAUCCCGGGGCUCAACCCCGGAACUGCCUCCGAUACUGGUAGUCUAGAGUUCGAGAGAGGUGAGUGGAAUUCCGAGUGUAGAGGUGAAAUUCGUAGAUAUUCGGAGGAACACCAGUGGCGAAGGCGGCUCACUGGCUCGAUACUGACGCUGAGGUGCGAAAGCGUGGGGAGCAAACAGGAUUAGAUACCCCCGUAGUCC